UACGUAGGCAGCAAGCGUUGUUCGGAGUUACUGGGCGUAAAGGGUGUGUAGGCGGUUCUUUAAGUUUGCUGUGAAAUCUCCCGGCUUAACCGGGAGGGUGCGGUGAAUACUGAGGGACUAGAGUACGGGAGAGGAAAGUGGAAUUCCUGGUGUAGCGGUGAAAUGCGUAGAGAUGUGGAGGAACACCGAUGGCGAAGGCAGCCUCCUGGGCCGGCACUGACGCUCAUGCACGAAAGCGUGGGGAGCAAACAGG
RNAcentral lists this ribosomal RNA (253 nucleotides) under uncultured bacterium. RNAcentral describes it as "partial 16S ribosomal RNA". It matches the Rfam family "Bacterial small subunit ribosomal RNA", at positions 524 to 776 of the family's 1533-position model. The record is from RNAcentral.